GGGUUGUGAGGUUAAGCGACUAAGCGUACACGGUGGAUGCCCUGGCAGUCAGAGGCGAUGAAGGGCGUGCUAAUCUGCGAUAAGCGCCGGUAAGGUGAUAUGAACCGUUAUAACCGGCGAUACCCGAAUGGGGAAACCCAGUGUGAUUCGUCACACUAUCAUUAACUGAAUCCAUAGGUUAAUGAGGCGAACCGGGGGAACUGAAACAUCUAAGUACCCCGAGGAAAAGAAAUCAACCGAGAUUCCCCCAGUAGCGGCGAGCGAACGGGGAGGAGCCCAGAGCCUGAAUCAGCAUGUGUGUUAGUGGAAGCGUCUGGAAAGGCGCGCGAUACAGGGUGACAGCCCCGUACACAAAAGCGCAUGUGCUGUGAGCUCGAUGAGUAGGGCGGGACACGUGGUAUCCUGUCUGAAUAUGGGGGGACCAUCCUCCAAGGCUAAAUACUCCUGACUGACCGAUAGUGAACCAGUACCGUGAGGGAAAGGCGAAAAGAACCCCGGCGAGGGGAGUGAAAAAGAACCUGAAACCGUGUACGUACAAGCAGUGGGAGCACAGGUUUACCUGUGUGACUGCGUACCUUUUGUAUAAUGGGUCAGCGACUUAUAUUCUGUAGCAAGGUUAACCGAAUAGGGGAGCCGGAGGGAAACCGAGUCUUAAUUGGGCGUUAAGUUGCAGGGUAUAGACCCGAAACCCGGUGAUCUAGCCAUGGGCAGGUUGAAGGUUGGGUAACACUAACUGGAGGACCGAACCGACUAAUGUUGAAAAAUUAGCGGAUGACCUGUGGCUGGGGGUGAAAGGCCAAUCAAACCGGGAGAUAGCUGGUUCUCCCCGAAAGCUAUUUAGGUAGCGCCUCGUGAAUUCAUCUCCGGGGGUAGAGCACUGUUUCGGCUAGGGGGCCAUCCCGGCUUACCAACCCGAUGCAAACUGCGAAUACCGGAGAAUGUUAUCACGGGAGACACACGGCGGGUGCUAACGUCCGUCGUGAAGAGGGAAACAACCCAGACCGCCAGCUAAGGUCCCAAAGUCAUGGUUAAGUGGGAAACGAUGUGGGAAGGCCCAGACAGCCAGGAUGUUGGCUUAGAAGCAGCCAUCAUUUAAAGAAAGCGUAAUAGCUCACUGGUCGAGUCGGCCUGCGCGGAAGAUGUAACGGGGCUAAACCAUGCACCGAAGCUGCGGCAGCGAACGUAUCACUUAAAGCGAUUCAGCGGGUUACGAUUGACGGAGCGAAG
This 1227-nucleotide ribosomal RNA is filed under the name Salmonella enterica subsp. enterica serovar Newport. Its description in RNAcentral is "partial 23S ribosomal RNA". It matches the Rfam family "Bacterial large subunit ribosomal RNA", at positions 1 to 1231 of the family's 2925-position model. The record is from RNAcentral. Lineage: Bacteria; Pseudomonadati; Pseudomonadota; Gammaproteobacteria; Enterobacterales; Enterobacteriaceae.